Molecule: ribosomal RNA, 486 nt
Filed under: uncultured bacterium
Lineage: Bacteria
Description: partial 16S ribosomal RNA
Rfam family: Bacterial small subunit ribosomal RNA
Source: RNAcentral
GAUGAACGCUGGCGGCGUGCUUAACACAUGCAAGUCGAACGGAAAGGCCCAAGCUUGUUUGGGUUCUCGAGUGGCGAACGGGUGUGUAACACGUGGGUGAUCUGCCCUGCACUUCGGGAUAAGCCUGGGAAACUGGGACUAAUACCGGAGAGGACAAUGGGUAGGAUGGCAUUGUGGAGAGCUUUUUCGGUGUGGUGUGAGUACGCGGCGUAUCCGCUUGUUGGUGGGGUAGUGGUAUACAAAGGCGUCGCCGGGUACCCGGACGGAGAGGGUGAUCGGCCAUACUAGAACGGAGACACGGUCCAGAAUCCUAAGGGAGGCAGCAGUCGGGAAUAUUGCAGAAUGGGCGAAAGCCUGACCAAGCGAGGCCGCGUGAGUGAUGAAGGCCUUCGGGUUGUAAAGCUCUUUUAGUUGGGAAGAACAGCUGUGUAGGGACGAGUCGAUGUUUUGACGGUACCUAGAGAAGAAGCACCGGCUAACUACGUG